GGAAGCAAUCUUUCUCAGAAUCCUCCUCAUUAUCUUUCCACUCCGUGUCUUUGGAAGGCCAGGAGCCCAGUGGAUUUUGUCAGGUGCAGCAAAUGCUCCUAUCUGAAAUGAGGAACAAUCAUGUUUCAGAGAAGGCAGCUGACACCAACAUGUAUUUAGAUCCAAUUCCUUCUGUUGCCAGGACUUCUCUGGUAGAGAGAGAGAGAGAGGAAGUUUGGAGUGUUGGAUUUGGGGAGGGGGGAAUGAGGGUAGUUUGUAAGGUUCUCAAAUCAUUACACCAUUAAGUCAGAACCUUAUUUGUCUAGACUUCCAAAAAUGUAAAUUGGUUUUAUGGUUAGACAAAUGAAUACACAAGUUAAAGGACCAUCAGAGAUGAUCUUAGAUCUUUUCUUUUUCAUUAUGCACAUAACCUGUUUAUGUGAUUUGAAGUUUUAUUCACGUGCAUCUUGAAAGCUUAGUGAAAAGGCUUGACCCAGGGAGAAGUUUGGUUAUACUGACUGCAGCUUGGAUCAUGCAUGAUGCAUUCAGAAAUCAGAAUACAUACAAGAGAAUGUUGGAUUGAAUAUGGACCUGAUUUCGCACUGUAAGGAUUAG
RNAcentral lists this unclassified non-coding RNA (594 nucleotides) under Hevea brasiliensis (rubber tree). Lineage: Eukaryota; Viridiplantae; Streptophyta; Magnoliopsida; Malpighiales; Euphorbiaceae. The record is from RNAcentral.